CAGCAUCUGUGCUACUGGUGUUACAUUCAGGAAGUGGUCUCCUGUACCAAUAGGCAUAUGUGAUUUUAUCAUCAUUGAGAACAUAAUACAUAUAUAAUUUGGAAGAUUGUGUUGUGCAUUUUGCUUAGACUCCUCAUAAACAUAUCAUCAAAAGUUCUCUAGAGCUAUGGUUUUCAGGAGUUCUCUACUGUUUCACGAUAUGUCUAGGUUCAUGUCAAGUUGAAAACAAAAAACCCACCUAGCACAGACUGUAAGAGCAAUGGAGUCACAGGCUCCUGGAAAGAGAAGGUUUAUUCUGGAUAGGCACUGUUACUGUAACUGCUAUUCAACUUGCAGAGAACUGGGGAGAACCAGGUGCCCUGAACACCAACCUAACAGAAAAAUGACCCCUCAGUAUUAUUAUCACCUAGUUCCUCUUAAAUAUUUCAAACACAAAUGAAAGAAGAAAAGUGACCCAAACUAAUAUAAAAUUCAACCAACAAUCUAACUCUCUGUAUACAAAUCCUGCACAAAAAUACAUGAAGCACCUAAAAAGAAAAAGACCUUUCCAAAUCUACCAACCCUUCAGUAAUGACUCCUAAUAAGAGUAACUUAGAGGAAAUAUAAAAGGAAUAAUAAGUUUGUUCAAAGAAAUGAAAGGAGAUGACAAUACAUGCCUUAGAAUUCCACAGCACAGACAGGAAAACUAAGGAGAUGAGGCAGUCAAGUAGGAUAUAAAAAUGAACUUCAACAAAGUGAGAAAUACUGAAACUAUCUGAGCUGAUGUUAGAAAUGAAAAAAUAAAGCAAGUCAGACAAAUACUCAGGAUCAUGGGAGGACAGACUAUAAAUGAAGACAACAAAAAAGAUUUAAAUGUAGGAAGUGAAGACUUGGCUGUUUGAAAAGAUAAACAAUAUCAACAAACCCUCCCUAGUGAAUUUAAAGAAAGAGAAGAAACACAUUUCAAAAUUAGAGAUGAAAAGAAGAAAUUAAAAUAGAUAGCAGUGAAAUUUGCAAAUUAUCAAGCUAUACAUCUAAAACCUGUAUUCUACUAAAUUUCAAAAUAUUAAUGAAAGAUGACUUUCUAGACACAAAGGACCUAUGAAAGUUAAAUCAAGAUGAGAAAAAUAAACAGAUAACAAGCAGCAAGAUUGAAACAGUCAUUACAGAUCUGUUAAGUGAGAAAUCCAAGCUUAGAUGGAUUUACUGCAGAAUCCUACCAGGCUUUUGAAGGAA
Long non-coding RNA from Mesocricetus auratus (golden hamster), 1215 nucleotides. RefSeq lists it as uncharacterized. The record is from RefSeq and is a predicted model, not a curated record. The transcript is spliced from 4 exons. Lineage: Eukaryota; Metazoa; Chordata; Mammalia; Rodentia; Cricetidae.